Molecule: ribosomal RNA, 518 nt
Filed under: uncultured bacterium
Lineage: Bacteria
Description: bacterial SSU rRNA
Rfam family: Bacterial small subunit ribosomal RNA
Source: RNAcentral
AGUUUGAUUAUGGCUCAGGAUGAACGCUAGCUACAGGCUUAACACAUGCAAGUCGAGGGGCAGCAUGGAGUUGCUUGCAAACUCUGAUGGCGACCGGCGCACGGGUGAGUAACGCGUAUCCAACCUUCCCUAUAGUAGAGGAUAGCCCGGCGAAAGUCGGAUUAAUACUCUAUGUUUUCCGUUGCAGACAUCUAAGAUGGAACAAAGGCUUGCCGCUAUAGGAUGGGGGAUGCGUCUGAUUAGGUAGUCGGCGGGGUAACGGCCCACCGAGCCAUCGAUCAGUAGGGUUCUGAGAGGAAGGUCCCCCACAUUGGAACUGAGACACGGUCCAAACUCCUACGGGAGGCAGCAGUGAGGAAUAUUGGUCAAUGGGCGAGAGCCUGAACCAGCCAAGUAGCGUGCAGGAUGACGGCCCUAUGGGUUGUAAACUGCUUUUAUGCGGGGAUAAAGUUCACUACGUGUAGUGUUUUGUAGGUACCGCAUGAAUAAGGACCGGCUAAUUCCGUGCCAGCCGCCGC